This 253-nucleotide ribosomal RNA is filed under the name uncultured bacterium. RNAcentral's name for it is "partial 16S ribosomal RNA". It matches the Rfam family "Bacterial small subunit ribosomal RNA", at positions 524 to 776 of the family's 1533-position model. The record is from RNAcentral.
UACGAAGGGGACUAGCGUUGCUCGGAAUCACUGGGCGUAAAGGGUGCGUAGGCGGGUCUUUAAGUCAGGGGUGAAAUCCUGGAGCUCAACUCCAGAACUGCCUUUGAUACUGAAGAUCUUGAGUUCGGGAGAGGUGAGUGGAACUGCGAGUGUAGAGGUGAAAUUCGUAGAUAUUCGCAAGAACACCAGUGGCGAAGGCGGCUCACUGGCCCGAUACUGACGCUGAGGCACGAAAACGUGGGGAGCAAACAGG